Molecule: long non-coding RNA, 1594 nt
Filed under: Eutrema salsugineum
Lineage: Eukaryota; Viridiplantae; Streptophyta; Magnoliopsida; Brassicales; Brassicaceae
Description: long non-coding RNA (ESAL_LNC000424)
Source: RNAcentral
AAGACCACAAAAAGUUCACGUAGAUGACUCUUAAGAAAUUCUAUUUUAUAGACAUUGAAAAGGCCUUCAUUUAGAAAACACAACUCAAGAUCCAAUAAAACAAAGGACCUCACUGGAUCUAGUAUUGUGCUUUAGAAUCACGCUGAAAGAUAAACAAACUGUAAGACAAAAACAAGAGAGUGAUGGCCUUUUUUGCAUGCUUUCAAACGAGCUCCUGCAGUGAAAACAAUAUAAGAUGUCAUAAACAUAAAAUGGACAAAGCUUAUGGUAACAGAUCACUUUAACAAAGACUAGAGGAUGAAUUCAGGAAUGUAAAAAACACAAACAAAAGAACAAAAACGGAUCCAAGCUUACAUUCAAAAGGAACAAUACAUAAAGUCAUAAACUAAUGAUGAUGAAGUAGCUAAAUCCUGAUUAGUGAUUAAGGUAUCAGGCUACUGAGAAUGUGAUACAUCAGAGAGAAGAAUAUAGCAUUUAUAGUCAGUUCGAUCACAGAUCCCCCCAACCUUUCAGAUAUUAGAAGAGCCAAAACAUGCUGAGAUCAAUCAAAACAAAAAGAAAGUGACCAAAAGACAUGACAAAAUGAUGUCUGAAAGCAAUAAGAUUAUUCAGCAGGUUGUAACGGAGCCGGAUAAAUUGCAGCAAAUCCAAACAAAAGAAACCACUGAUAAGCAUAUAAAAUAUAUAUAUAUAUAUACAGAAGCAGAGUAAAGCAGCCAUGACCCCAAUUGGUUAAUUGAAGCAGAUUAAGCUGUCAUAACUCAAAUUUUUUUGACUGAAGCAGCCAUUACUUUAAUUUUUUUUAACUGAAGCAGAUUAAGCAGCCAUUGCUAUGAAGCAGACAUUAAUUUUAUUUUUUUAAGCUCUCUACCAAAUGCCCACCAUUGGCUUUUAUGAACAAAAACUCAUUGAAAACACAAAAUCAGCAAUUUCGUUCCCUCAUGGACUCACGGGUCACCGACUAAAACAGAGACAAAAAUCACGGCAGCAAGAUUCAAACGAUCUGCAAAAUGAGAGUUUAAACAUGCGCAAAUCUGAGCAGAUUUGAACAAUCUGGAUCAAUAAAUUUGGCGAAACAAGCGAGGGAGCUUACAGGAACAAUGAAAAAUGGAAAAAAAAAUCUAUAGGGUUUUGAGUGAGCAAACCUCCGCAAAAUCUGUGUUGAGAUCGAUUGAUGAUGGGCAAGCGAAAAUUUAGAACCUUUCGAAAAGCCAAUCUAUUUUCAUUUCUCGGGUUCCUCGAAUUCUGGGAAUGAGGGGGUAGGAUAUUUCAGGAAAAUGCUCGUCUUUUUGAGCUAAGCGUUCAGAUUCGAAAAGAGUUCUUGCCACUACACCAACCUUCACAUGGUGCGGUGAGCUGAGUGGUUUUAGAUUCUUCUUAUUUUCUUUAUUUUCUUUUCACUAUAUAACGUUUUUUCCAGGAAGAAAAUAAAAACUGUCCAGAUUUCCCAUAAAUACCCAAAGAAAAAUAUAAUGAUAAGUAAUAAAUGAUGUAUAAAUUUUGGAUUGAAAUAUUACUUUUGAUUUAUGGUAAUAUCAUAGAAAAUUUUGAGGAAAAAAUCUUGACUUCAUCAGCAAGAUAUAACCGUUUUUUC